Molecule: ribosomal RNA, 368 nt
Filed under: uncultured organism
Description: bacterial SSU rRNA
Rfam family: Bacterial small subunit ribosomal RNA
Source: RNAcentral
CGUAGGUGGCAAGCGUUGUCCGGAUUUAUUGGGUUUAAAGGGUGCGUAGGCGGUCUUGUAAGUCAGUGGUGAAAUACGGCAGCUUAACUGUCGAGAUGCCAUUGAUACUGCAGGACUUGAGUACAGACGAGGUAGGCGGAAUUGACGGUGUAGCGGUGAAAUGCUUAGAUAUCGUCAAGAACACCGAUAGCGAAGGCAGCUUACUAGACUGUAACUGACGCUGAUGCACGAGAGUGUGGGGAUCAAACGGGAUUAGAUACCCUGGUAGUCCACACUGUAAACGAUGAUUACUCGAUGUUGGCGAUACACAGCCAGCGUCUUAGCGAAAGCGAUAAGUAAUCCACCUGGGGAGUACGCCGGCAACGGUG